GCCAUGACAGUGCUGGGACAAGGAGCAAGAACCUGGAUUCCAUUUCUAGCACCUACAUCCUUCCAGAACUGCAGCUCUAACCCCAUGGGUCUGACUCCCUCUUCUGUUCUCCCAGGGCACCAGGCACACGCAGCACUCAGAGCCAGCCAGCGAGGGAUUCAAAGGCCUAUGGGGGAAACCUGGCAGACAUGGGACCUCAGCUAACUCCCAUAAUCUCCCUGAGGAUCAGAUUUUCCAAUUUAGUGGAAUACAUAAGGCUCCCAGAUGCCAGUCACUGAGGAGUUACAGAUGCUGGACACACCUCUGCGGCCUGUCAGUGUUUGGAUUUCAAAUGCUGGUCAUGUCCCAGUGGCUCUUUCAGACAUCACACUGGCUACUACGCAUCCUGUCUCUCUCUCUGUUCUCACUGCAGACUCUGGCUCCGGCCAGGUUUCUGCCCCAAAGAAUACUGGAAGGUUCUGAUUCGGUUUCUUCCCCGUGGUCUAGAGGUGUUCAGGUUUCAGCACGUGGUCCCAUGAUACUUGCUCUGGAUUCUCAGAGGGUGCAGUCCAGGGAAGGUUAGGAGCCACAAAGCCACUGCCUCAGCCCAGGGGCUUUUAAAAUGAUGUCUUGUCCCACUUUGGUGGAGAGACAGGAAGAGAGCAGUCCUCGUGUCUCUCCUCCCUCCUACUGUACUCAAACUGUGUCUCUCUUCCUCCAUUCUUUUUACCCCUCUGUCUUUUCAAAAUGUCUGUCAGUGAGAACACAGUGCCAGUUUCCAUGGCUCUGAUCCCUCCCGCUCCCGAGCACACCAACCCCUCAGGGACUGUCCUUUUUCCUGUUCUGGUCUAUUUGAUACUACAGGAUGGAGAACAUCUUCAGUGUUUUUCAGAGUUAAUUAACAUGUUGACUUUUAUAAUCAACCAUCCUUUGCGUAAAGAUGUACAAAACGUGAGUAGUGCACGGAGAGCCGUUUUCAGACAUUACUGGAGUUUGUUUUACUCCAGAGCCAAAAAUCAUUCUAGAUUUUUAAAUUAUUUUUAAACCCAAGUCAGAAACUCAAAUCAUGAUUUUUGCAAUCAAAUAUUUUAGCCCACGAUAAUCCAAAGAUAUACUUACUUGAUAUAUGUUGAAAAAUGAAGCUAGGAAAAUAUUAAAAGGGUUUUUUUUUUUUGUAUACUUAAGCCAUUAUGUUUCUAUAAGAACAGAAAAGUUUGUAUGUACAGUAAAAACACUGAAGUUCAUAAC
Long non-coding RNA from Mus pahari (shrew mouse), 1227 nucleotides. RefSeq lists it as uncharacterized. Lineage: Eukaryota; Metazoa; Chordata; Mammalia; Rodentia; Muridae. The transcript is spliced from 5 exons. The record is from RefSeq and is a predicted model, not a curated record.